GACGAAGGGGGCUAGCGUUGCUCGGAAUUACUGGGCGUAAAGCGCGUGUAGGCGGUUGCCCAAGUCGGGUGUGAAAGCCUUGAGCUCAACUCAAGAAAUGCACUCGGUACUGGGUGACUAGAGGACCGGAGAGGAUAGUGGAAUUCCCAGUGUAGUGGUGAAAUACGUAGAGAUUGGGAAGAACACCAGUGGCGAAGGCGGCUAUCUGGACGGUUUCUGACGCUAAGACGCGAAAGCGUGGGGAGCAAACAGG
Molecule: ribosomal RNA, 253 nt
Filed under: uncultured bacterium
Lineage: Bacteria
Description: partial 16S ribosomal RNA
Rfam family: Bacterial small subunit ribosomal RNA
Source: RNAcentral